This 3918-nucleotide long non-coding RNA is filed under the name Malus domestica (apple). Its description in RNAcentral is "long non-coding RNA (MDOM_LNC005207)". Lineage: Eukaryota; Viridiplantae; Streptophyta; Magnoliopsida; Rosales; Rosaceae. The record is from RNAcentral.
ACCGAAAAUUUUCUAUUUGUCUAAAUAUGAUGACGUAGAAAAGAAAGAAAAAAGCUAGUAUGCCCUAUUCAUGUGAUUUAAUGCAGAGGAUGACCAACGUAUUGAAACACUUUUAGUCCCAAUCAGAGAUUAAUGAGUUUCCUUAAUGUGUGUGCUUGUAUCUUGAGGAAUUCACGAAUACAUACAUGAUAUACACAUACACAUGUAGGCAACCAAUCGACCAGACAUUUUACCAACCGCCACGGGGUGUGUUGAUAGAAAGAUUUUUCAGUGUCAUCAAUACACGUAAUAAUACAUCACGUGUCACUACACCAAUUGUGGGAUAUGUGUGUUAAAAAGUUAAUAACUUAAAAAAUAAAUUGCUCACAACUUGUAUAAAAACACGUGGUGUACUACUCAUGUUCUGGUCACAAUGAAAAAUUUCUUGUGUUGAUGGUCGACUGCUUGACUCUCGUAUACAAAAACCAAAUCGUUAGUAUCUCGUAUUGUACAUGCCUGACCCAAUUAUGGUACGUCAUGAGAGCAACUCCACCCUUGCUUAUUGUCUUGGGGAUAGGCAACCUAAUACACUCCCCCCUCUUAGAACACUUCAGCCCACUCUGGCAAUUGGGCUCAAGGCAAGCUCGAUCGAGAAGUUAGGCAAUAGUCGCCCAGCGCCCUGCCUAUGUGAUGUAAGUUGAUGUUAGCUAUAAUUUAAAUAAUUAUAAAAAUUAUAAAAAAAACUAAUUAAAAAUAUAAAAAAAUUAUAAUUUUUUUCUAUAAAUACCUAACAAUGUUCUUCCACUUUACACUACAUUCCAAUAUUUUCAAAUACUUUUAAUCAACCUUUUAUUAUUAUCCGAAAUUAAAAAUAAAGUCAUCUUUUAUUAUUUUAAAAUAGAAAAUACUAAUAUUUUAAUACGAAUUGUCUGAGUUAUUCAGCUUAGGAGUAGAUAUGCAUUUGGGCAGUUACGGUUCAUCUAAGGGAAUUGAGUUGUUUAUUGCCCAGAGAGGCCUUACUACACUGGAAGUGCUCGUAUACAUAUAUGAUAUACAUACACAUAUACAUACAGGUAGAUGAGGAUUGAUGAGGAUUAUUUGGAUAAAUAUAAGAAGCUAGAGAGGACAGUCAGGAAGAGGAGGGUGUGUAUUUAAUAGGGCAUGAAUGCUAGCAUGGGCAAGUAUAGGUCUAACCUGAAUUUGUACAUCUUGAGUCUCUUUCCCUUAAUUUAUUUUGGGAAUAGUUUUCUCUGCCAUUAUUUCCUUUCUGGAUUAAAAUCAGUAGCAUCAAAUUAAGAAGGGGCGCCAUAGUAGGUGAGAAACUAAUGCUACUCUGCUUUCAAAACAAUAAAAUAAAUAAAUAAAUAUAAAUUGUCACGCCUUAAAAAUGGGCACGUAACAGUGUCACGCUCUAUUAUUAACACAGUACUAUAGUGUUAAAAUCCAACACUAUAGCACUACAUUCCUAAUAGAACGUAAGGCUAUUUGAGGGGAAUAAAAUAAUUUAUUUUUAAGCAGUAUGGAAGUGGAUAUCAUUUUGGUAAAACGAAGAGUAAAAGGGCAACUGAAUUUGGAUAAAAUUUUUACAUAGGAAAAAAACUUCACAAUCUACAACAAAACCAAAGAGUUUAAGGUAAUUAUCAUACUAAACCGACUCUUUAGUACGAUUUGGAAAGUACAAAGCGCUAGGUUUGGUUACACAAGAUUCCUUCAAGACAGUAAGGGAAUCAGGCAUAUGUUCGAACCAAAAACCUGUGGAAAGUCAAUGAGUGACUAAGAAGUUGACAAGUAACAACAACGCUUGUCCCGACUUUAGUCCAAAUCGUCUAUUCGUAGGUGCACCGAUCCUGUAAUAAAGUAGAUAGGGGUGAGUAUCACAAACGCUCAUCGCUCCCCCUCAGGGAAUCCACCCUAGCUAGGUUUGAAAAUAGUAUACGACACUAUUUAUACUAUAGGAAGAUGAUUGAUGCACAACAAAAGCUUUGUUUAGUUUUGAAAAUAGAUUGUAUGCUCACACAAUUUCUUUUUUAAAAGAAAAAGGGAUCCCAAUAAAUCGCUACAUGCCUAAUGAGCAAUCCAAUGACCAACUACCCCUUACCUGGACCAACUACGAACGAACAUACUUAUGGUAAGGUGUAGCAAGAGUGUCCUUUAAUGCUCUACCCUUAGAUAUCCUAGUACCUCUCCUAGAAAGGUAGUGGUACUAAUCCAUUUGUAGUAGCCCAUUCGAAGGUUUAGGGAAUCGAAACCCAAGAUGGUCGCUAUGCUCCCUUCACUCUCAAGUCAUCACUUUAAUUUGCAGCAUAAAACAACAUGCAUAUCAUGAUAUAAAACAAAACCAUUUUUCCUCAUGGUUCUAUCACAACAAAAUCUAUGUAGCUUUCACAGGCAUUCGUAUAUUUACAUGUACAUACAUUCACAAAAUUCCAUAACUACGGUAAGUGAGGAUCCUCCUACCUGGUCUCCAAACCAAGGAAGCGAUAUUCCUCACCAAUACCUCGAUUCCAAAACUAAAACGAAAAUCCAUGUCACUACUGAAAUAGCUUGACUUCAAGUACUUGAGCAAGCUCCUUGAUCACCAUGUACUUCUUCCAAUUUCUUUUCGAUUCUAAACUCUAUAUAACUAUAUCUAUGUAUGCAUAUAGACUUCAAUCUCUACGUAAACUAAUGCAAGCAUUGCAUGCCAUCCUAUUCUCAUACAAGUGCUUAUCUUGGUUUUGAAGAGAAAUGACGAUGAGCUUGUCCUAUUUAUACUAGUAGGAGACGGUUAGUAAACUUAAUAACCAAGUAAAAAUACUAAUAAAAUAUAGAAACUUAAGACCAGUUCUUAUACUAAUGGCAAUGAGGUGUCAAUUGCAUGGAAUAACCAAAAGACACGUCCACGUAUGUAGCUUCACAUAGUCACUAUGUAUAGUGCUCACUAAGCACUCAUGUCUUCUCACAAAUGGCCACCUGCUGCUUAAAUUUCAUGAGUCACAUACACACAUGUCCUUUGUAAGCAAAUCUAAAGUCAUCUCCUCUUUGUCUUGUCCACUUGGCUAAGCAAUAAAGCUUAGUCAUGUAAUUGUAAGCAUGAAAUCACUUAGCUUGCAACAUGCAUAACGGCUAACAUGGUUGAAAUGUAGAAAACAUCUACAAUACACCCUAAUAUCUCCAAAUAAUAUUAUAAAAAUAUGGGAUCUCACAUAAAUAAAAGAUGGUGUUCUUCCUAUUAAAGGGUCAAAAACAUGUGUUAAUAUUGUGGAGGGAUUUUUCAGUGUCGGGAACACAUUAUGGUAUACUAAGUGUAAUAAUACAAUUGGUUCGAAACUUGAAGAAAGAAAAUUUUCAACCAAUUAGAUUACAACACUUUGUAACUUGGUGUAGCAAACCGUGUUCUCGACACACUGAAACAUUUCUCAAUAUUGUGGUGCAAAACCCUUAGCUUCAAAUUUUGGUUGGGAAUUUGGUGUUGUGUUUAAUUAGUUGGAAUGCCCGGGAACUUAUUGUGAUGAUGUCAAACUCAACAAGGAACCUUAAAACUCAUUACAUUCCUUACAAUUUAGAAAGAAAAAGAAAACAAAACACAAAUUAUGCCUUUUAUUUUGUGAAAUACACAUAGUUGCCCCCACAAAGAUAAUAUGAUAAUGAAUAAAUCAGCUUGAUUGUAAGAUGCUUGUAGUUUAAAUAAUUAUGAGCGUUUAUCUCUACAUUUGAAGGUUUGUGUUCAAAUCUCCACUCUCCAAGUAUUUGACAAAGAAUAAUCAACGUGCUCAUUUUGCAGUAUGAAUAUAUGUACUUAGUAUGAAGAACCAGCAGAUUUCAUAGCCGAUGUUUUGCUUGAUGAUGGGUGUAAAUGUUUAAUUUAUCUAUAUUAGCGCGUGGCACUCUUUUUCAUAGAUUAUACUGAAAGCCCCACAAAGUUUUACCGAGGCGACACAUACACCGUAUCAUUUCAUA